Molecule: ribosomal RNA, 446 nt
Filed under: uncultured bacterium
Lineage: Bacteria
Description: bacterial SSU rRNA
Rfam family: Bacterial small subunit ribosomal RNA
Source: RNAcentral
AUACGGAAGGCAGCAGUGGGGAAUUUUUGGCAAUGGGGGCAACCCUGACCAAGCAACGCCGCGUGGGUGAUGAAGUCUCUUGGGACGUAAAACCCUUUCGACGGGGAAGAAACCGCAAGGUUGACGGUACCCGUAGAAGAAGCCCCGGCUAACUCCGUGCCAGCAGCCGCGGUAAUACGGGGGGGGCAAGCGUUGUUCGGAAUUACUGGGCGUAAAGGGCGCGUAGGCGGUUCGCUAAGUUGAAUGUGAAAACUCUGGGCUCAACCCAGAGCCUGCAUCCAAAACUGGCGGGCUAGAGUUCUGGAGGGGGUAGCGGAAUUCCUGGUGUAGCGGUGAAAUGCGUAGAUAUCAGGAGGAACACCGGUGGCGAAGGCGGCUACCUGGACAGAAACUGACGCUGAGGCGCGAAAGCUAGGGGAGCAAACAGGAUUAGAUACCCCGGUAGC